RNAcentral lists this ribosomal RNA (888 nucleotides) under Triticum aestivum (bread wheat). RNAcentral describes it as "partial small subunit ribosomal RNA". Lineage: Eukaryota; Viridiplantae; Streptophyta; Magnoliopsida; Poales; Poaceae. The record is from RNAcentral.
AUGCCACGGAAGAUGAUGGUGUAUUUGAGAAGAUUGAUGAUUUUUUUACGGAAGGUGAAUGAGUUGGAUGCUGAAGUUCCUACGACGUCUGAUCGUCUGAGUUACAUUGCUGGCAUUUUUCCUGAAGGCCAUGGACCAAGAGAAGAAUCAAUGAAGGAGGCUACAGAGCGUGAUGUUGCUAUCAUUGGUAGUCUUUGGAGUGCGACAUCACACAUUCGCACUGCUUUUAACCAUUUGAAGAAGAAACAUGAUGCCAUAUGCAAAGGCUUUGAAAAUGAUGCUCGUAUUAUUGUGAGUCAGAUUAGCAAGCAGAAGAAUGACGCGUCUGGCCCCGUGCGUGAUGAUGAUUAUACUGGUCAACAGGGUGAGGAGAUUAGCAAGCAGAAGAAUGACGCGUCUGCCCCCGUGCGUGAUGAUGAUUAUACUGAUCAACGGGUUGAGGAGGUUGUUGUUGAUGCGUCAGAUGACGGUGAAGAUGAUAAGCAAGAGCCCCCUGCUGAACCCCCUCCGCAUGAUUUUACUGAUGACUACGUCAUUGAUGAUGAUUUUUUUGGUGGUGAUCCUGCUGAUGGUUGCAAUGGUGUUGAUGACAAUGUUGAUUAUACAGAGGGAGUUUUUGCACGAGACCAGCCUGUAGCCGAAGGUGAUUGCGACAAAUCUAAUGAGCCAGAGCUUGGGCAGCAAUUCCAUGCUGGUAGUGCUGGCAUUUCAAAAGGGAAGCAAGUUGGGUUUGAUUGUCAAAGUGGCGUGUCAGUUUGCUUGAUGCUAGACAGGCGUCUGAAGGUGCUUGUGCGGGUGUAUUUGUCAUGGAUGGCCUCGGUGAUGAUGUCAAUCAUGCAGCAAAUUUUGAAGGAAAACAAGUGCCGAAUGAUACAAAACAAGUGCUGA